UACGUAGGGUGCAAGCGUUGUCCGGAAUUAUUGGGCGUAAAGAGCUCGUAGGCGGUCUGUCGCGUCGAAUGUGAAAACCCGGGGCUCAACCCCGGGCCUGCAGUGGGUACGGGCAGACUAGAGUGCGGUAGGGGAGACUGGAAUUCCUGGUGUAGCGGUGAAAUGCGCAGAUAUCAGGAGGAACACCGGUGGCGAAGGCGGGUCUCUGGGCCGUAACUGACGCUGAGGAGCGAAAGCGUGGGGAGCGAACAGG
RNAcentral lists this ribosomal RNA (253 nucleotides) under uncultured bacterium. RNAcentral's name for it is "partial 16S ribosomal RNA". It matches the Rfam family "Bacterial small subunit ribosomal RNA", at positions 524 to 776 of the family's 1533-position model. The record is from RNAcentral.